UACGUAGGGUGCGAGCGUUGUCCGGAAUUAUUGGGCGUAAAGAGCUCGUAGGCGGUGUGUCACGUCGGCCGUGAAAACCUGCAGCUUAACUGUGGGCGUGCGGUCGAUACGGGCAUCACUGGAGUUCGGCAGGGGAGACUGGAAUUCCUGGUGUAGCGGUGAAAUGCGCAGAUAUCAGGAGGAACACCGGUGGCGAAGGCGGCAUCCUGGACCAACACUGACACUGAGGAGCGAAAGCCAGGGGAGCAAACGGG
Molecule: ribosomal RNA, 254 nt
Filed under: uncultured bacterium
Lineage: Bacteria
Description: partial 16S ribosomal RNA
Rfam family: Bacterial small subunit ribosomal RNA
Source: RNAcentral